RNAcentral lists this ribosomal RNA (510 nucleotides) under Grandicrepidula grandis. RNAcentral describes it as "Crepidula grandis partial 16S ribosomal RNA". The record is from RNAcentral. Lineage: Eukaryota; Metazoa; Mollusca; Gastropoda; Littorinimorpha; Calyptraeidae.
AGAAUUUUAAUGGUCGAACAGACCAACCCUUAAAGACUUCUGCACCUUUAGGAUAUUCUGGUCCAACAUCGAGGUCACAAACCCUUUUUUCGAUUAGAGCUCUCAAAAAAGAUUAUGCUGUUAUCCCUACGGUAACUAAUUCCAUUAAUCAAUACUAUAUUGGAUCAAUAUAGGUAUAUUUUGUUAAAUAAAAGAAGCUUUUUUUGUUCCUCAGUCGCCCCAACCAAAAUUUUUAAUAAUUUAUUUUUCAUGUAUGUUUUUAAUUUUUAUAUUAAUUUCUUUAAAGCUCGAUAGGGUCUUCUUGUCUUUUAAUUUAAUUUAGACUUCUUCAUCUAAAAAUAAAAUUCUAAUAAAUAAAAGAGAGACAGUAUUACUCUUGUCAAACCAUUCAUACCAGUCCCCAAUUAUAGGACAAAUUAUUAUGCUACCUUCGCACGGUUAAAGUACCGCGGCCGUUAAAAAAUUUCACCGGGCAGGUUAGACUCUUUAUAAAAAUUAUUUCAAAGAGAC